Molecule: ribosomal RNA, 669 nt
Filed under: Rhizopogon arctostaphyli
Lineage: Eukaryota; Fungi; Basidiomycota; Agaricomycetes; Boletales; Rhizopogonaceae
Description: eukaryotic LSU rRNA
Rfam family: 5.8S ribosomal RNA (bases 234-388)
Source: RNAcentral
AGGAUCAUUAACGAAUAUAAUUCGAGGGGUUGUCGCUGGCCUCGCUCGCGCGAGGCAUGUGCACGCUUCGCGUUUUUCUGAUAACCAACCUGUGAACCUAAUGUAGGAUGCCUCUCCUCCGGGAGGGGGGACCUACGUCUUCUCAACAUCUUCGUGUAGAAAGUCUUUGAAUGUUUACUAUCAUCGAGUCGCGACUUCUAGGAGACGCGAUUCUUUGAGAUAAAAGUUAUUACAACUUUCAGCAACGGAUCUCUUGGCUCUCGCAUCGAUGAAGAACGCAGCGAAAAGCGAUAUGUAAUGUGAAUUGCAGAUCUACAGUGAAUCAUCGAAUCUUUGAACGCACCUUGCGCUCCUCGGUGUUCCGAGGAGCAUGCCUGUUUGAGUGUCAGUAAAUUCUCAACCCCUCUCGAUCUUCUUCGAAGAGGGCGCUUGGAUAGUGGAGGUUGCCGGAGACUCGGAUUCGUUCCGAGACUCGGGCUCUUCUGAAAUGCAUCGGCUUGCGGUCGACUUUCGACUAUGCGCGACAAGGCUUUCGGCGUGAUAAUGAUCGCCGUUCGCCGAAGCGCAUGACAGAAGGUUCCGCGCCUCUAACGCGUCGACCGCUUACUAUCUCUCCGGAGAGAACGGCGUCUUCCUAAUAGACUUUUGACCUCNAAUCAGGUAGGACUA